GUAGUCUUUCGGAAACCCGGCACCCAUAAGUUUCGUAUUAUAAAUCUUGUCCGGACGAACGAAACGAAGGAAUCACCGAAGAAAAUCUUUGAAGAACGGGCACAGAUACCGAGGCAGCAUUCUGUGUAGCAUUGCUGCUACUCGGAUUGCCUUAUGCAGACAAAAGGUACGUGUACACAACGCUCGCCACUAUCCAUCGAUACUGUUCACCAUGACAAAAAAAAAAAA
Molecule: non-coding RNA, 228 nt
Organism: Osmia lignaria (orchard mason bee)
Lineage: Eukaryota; Metazoa; Arthropoda; Insecta; Hymenoptera; Megachilidae
Source: RefSeq, a predicted model, not a curated record